GAUGAACGCUGGCGGCGUGCCUAAUACAUGCAAGUAGAACGCUGAAGGAAGGAGCUUGCUCUUUCCGGAUGAGUUGCGAACGGGUGAGUAACGCGUAGGUAACCUGCCUGGUAGCGGGGGAUAACUAUUGGAAACGAUAGCCAAUACCGCAUAACAGUAGAUGUUGCAUGAUAUCUACUUAAAAGGUGCAAUUGCACCACUACCAGAUGGACCUGCGUUGUAUUAGCUAGUUGGUGAGGUAACGGCUCACCAAGGCGACGAUACAUAGCCGACCUGAGAGGGUGAUCGGCCACACUGGGACUGAGACACGGCCCAGACUCCUACGGGAGGCAGCAGUAGGGAAUCUUCGGCAAUAGACGGAAGUCUGACCGAGCAACGCCGCGUGAGUGAAGAAGGUUUUCGGAUCGUAAAGCUCUGUUGUAAGAGAAGAACGAGUGUGAGAGUGGAAAGUUCACACUGUGACGGUAUCUUACCAGAAAGGGACGGCUAACUACGUG
This 497-nucleotide ribosomal RNA is filed under the name uncultured bacterium. Its description in RNAcentral is "partial 16S ribosomal RNA". It matches the Rfam family "Bacterial small subunit ribosomal RNA", at positions 28 to 507 of the family's 1533-position model. The record is from RNAcentral.